CUACGGGGUGCACCAGUGGGGAAUAUUGGACAAUGGGGGAAACCCUGAUCCAGCAAUGCCGCGUGUGUGAAGAAGGCCUGCGAGUUGUAAAGCACUUUCGGUUGGGAGGACUGCUUCUAGCACUAAUAUUGUUGGAAGUUGACGUUACCUUCAGAAGAAGCACCGGCUAACUCCGUGCCAGCAGCCGCGGUAAUUCGGAGGGUGCAAGCGUUAAUCGGAAUUACUGGGCGUAAAGCGCGCGUAGGCGGCUAGAUCAGUCGGGUGUGAAAGCCCCGGGCUUAACCUGGGAACUGCAUCCGAUACUGGCUAGCUUGAGUACAGGAGAGGAGAGUGGAAUUCCACAUGUAGCGGUGAAAUGCGUAGAUAUGUGGAGGAACACCAAUGGCGAAGGCAGCUCUCUGGCCUGAUACUGACGCUGAGGUGCGAAAGCGUGGGGAGCAAACAGGAUUAGAUACCCCGGUAGUC
RNAcentral lists this ribosomal RNA (465 nucleotides) under uncultured bacterium. RNAcentral's name for it is "partial 16S ribosomal RNA". It matches the Rfam family "Bacterial small subunit ribosomal RNA", at positions 339 to 795 of the family's 1533-position model. The record is from RNAcentral.